RNAcentral lists this ribosomal RNA (247 nucleotides) under uncultured bacterium. RNAcentral's name for it is "partial 16S ribosomal RNA". It matches the Rfam family "Bacterial small subunit ribosomal RNA", at positions 523 to 769 of the family's 1533-position model. The record is from RNAcentral.
AUACGGAGGGUGCAAGCGUUAUUCGGAAUUAUUGGGCGUAAAGAGCGCGUAGGCGGCCUGUCAAGUCAGGUGUGAAAUCCCGGGGCUCAACCCCGGAAGCGCAUUUGAUACUGUAGGACUUGAGUAUGGGAGAGGGAAGCGGAAUUCCUGGUGUAGCGGUGAAAUGCGUAGAUAUCAGGAGGAACACCAGUGGCGAAGGCGGCUUCCUGGACCAAUACUGACGCUGAGGCGCGAAGGCGUGGGGAGC